Long non-coding RNA from Mytilus trossulus (common blue mussel), 852 nucleotides. RefSeq lists it as uncharacterized. The record is from RefSeq and is a predicted model, not a curated record. Lineage: Eukaryota; Metazoa; Mollusca; Bivalvia; Mytilida; Mytilidae. The transcript is spliced from 2 exons.
AAAUUAUAAAUUAAGAAAGUGUGUAAAUUUUAUGUUAAAACUUUGUUUUGAUAGGGUACUACAACAGAAGAAGAAAAGUUGAUAUCUGGUUUAAAAUCCGUUCAAUUAGAUGAUAAACGAAGUGGUCAUUAUCAUCCAAAGAGACGACCUUCGUUGAUGAAAUUUGGUUUAGAGCCUUUUGAGGUUGAAAAUUUGAUAACUUCAAAAGUGAAAUGCUUUUUGGAUGAACCAAAUAUGAAAGUUAUAAAACAUGUGGUAAAGCAAACUGUUCUACGAGAAAAAAUUACAGGUCAAGGCAAACUUGAUAAAAGAAGAUCGUCUAUUUAUAGACUUUUUGAGAAAAGCUUGAUUCCUAACGAAUUGGACAGUCCGAACAAGCUAAAAACCGAUACAUCAAACCGACCAGGAGUUAUGCGGUUUGACAAUCAUUUAAAAAAGGAUUACCAUAAAGCUCAAGAGACAUUUUUCCGGUCAUUAGACGCCUUAGAUCUGCUAGCGCUACCAGCAGACAUCACGGUAGAAGGCGGAUAUUUGAAAAGAAACGCAUGCAUGAUAACAACAGCAGAAUUUUGUGACGUAGUUGAUGACGUUACCGAGAUGUUUGUGAAGAGAUAUUCACAUGACCUGAUACCGGUAGAAAAUAUCCAUAUACAAGCUGUUUAUUAAUCAUGUGAAAGGAUAUGCAUAGAGAGACUUCUUAUGGACAUGGCUAUUCCGAAUGAUAUGCUGGAUUCUAAAAAUUAUGAACGUUGGAGAACCCACGUUUUGGUGUUUUCUAGUUUUGCUGCUUUAUUGUACGUGUAUUUAGAAAAUAUUUGGGGCCUUGUCAAGAAAUAAAUCAUGAAUCUUUUA